Molecule: long non-coding RNA, 314 nt
Filed under: Pan troglodytes (chimpanzee)
Lineage: Eukaryota; Metazoa; Chordata; Mammalia; Primates; Hominidae
Description: long non-coding RNA NONPTRT001619
Source: RNAcentral
CAUUGAAUUCUGCUACACUUUAAACAAAGGAUACAAAUUGCUAAGGAAAGGACAGUCUCAGCCAGCAAUAUCAAUUCUCAGAACCAGAAGAGAAACCCCAGUGCAGCAGGAAUGGAAAUGCAUCAUAUGUUGAAAUCAACUGGAAAUUGAAGCAUUAAAACCACUCUGAUUCCUAUUUGGGUGACUGCCACAUCCCUUUCCACCAAAGAGUUCAUUGGACAUCUCCGGGAUAUUCAGCCACUCCUAUAAAACAGUGACCCCCCUAAAACAAGAAAAACGAUGAAGAUGAACAACCUGAACUGGACUCCUGCCAA